UAUUACUGUUUUUGCUCUUUAGAUACUUUAAAUAUAACAGAACUAAGGUCCCCAUGUUAGGGCAACAAUGUGCCACCUAGCUGAUUUGCGGGCUAUAAGAAACAAAUGUGAGAGUGAACUCAUCAGAUUACUAUAGCAUUUGAAAAAAAAAAUCGCUCCAAUCCACUAUAAUGCCGAUUGCCAAGUGGGGGUAUUUGACGUGUAUGCUUGCUUGUGUUUUUGAAAAUUCUGAACAAGAUGGAUGUCAUAACACUAGCUGCCCAUAAUUGCAAUUAUUUAUUUACUCAUACAUUAUUAAUUCAUUUCAGAGGGAUGUUGCAGGGAAAACAUAAGCGCAUUAUGGAAAAAGAAAAGGACUAUCGUACAAGGACAAAGUGGCUUAUCUCAAUAGUUGUGCCCAGUGUUAUGUUUUUGUUAUUGAAAACAAGUUUCCUAUAUGUGAUGAUAAAUUAUUGUCUACUAAACAAAACUAUUUUUUAAUACUUUUUAAAAAUACAUUAUUGAUUGCGAUUCUUUUUCUGGUUCAUUUGCAGCUCUCUGAGUGGAUAAAAACAAGCUCCUCAGAAUUGGAAAAUUGGUACCAUCCAGAUCGAUGAUGGACUAUAUAACAUGCUGCGCCCUUGGUGUUCGGCGAAGCAAAACAGAUGGCAGGCUGGGCAAUGUCAAUGGCACAAAGCUCAAAUGGCCCCUGACACUCAAUUUAGUCACACAUGAAGCUGCCAUAUCAGUCUUUUUGUGUGUUGAGCUCUGCAUUCCGGUACUUCAAAAAAGGACCUGUAAUUUGUUCCACAUGAUGCUAUUCUUCGUCUAGAUUGCUCUACAUAGAGAACAAUGGAACUAGAUACUUAUUCUGUAAAGAUUUUUUAUUGUUAUUGCCUGUCUGUUAA
Molecule: long non-coding RNA, 887 nt
Organism: Panicum virgatum (switchgrass)
Lineage: Eukaryota; Viridiplantae; Streptophyta; Magnoliopsida; Poales; Poaceae
Exons: 2
Source: RefSeq, a predicted model, not a curated record